CAGUAGCCACGGUAACACGUAGGUGGCAAGCGUUGUCCGGAAUUAUUGGGCGUAAAGCGCGCGCAGGCGGAUCAGUCAGUCUGUCUUAAAAGUUCGGGGCCUAACCCCGUGAUGGGAUGGAAACUGCUGAUCUAGAGUAUCGGAGAGGAAAGUGGAAUUCCUAGUGUAGCGGUGAAAUGCGUAGAGAUCGGGAGGAACAUCAGUGGCGAAGGCGGCGACCUGGGCCAACAUUGACGCUGAGGCGCGAAAGCGUGGGGAGCAAACAGGAUUAGAUACCCCAGUAGUCCCUGUCUCUUAUACA
Molecule: ribosomal RNA, 301 nt
Filed under: uncultured bacterium
Lineage: Bacteria
Description: partial 16S ribosomal RNA
Rfam family: Bacterial small subunit ribosomal RNA
Source: RNAcentral